RNAcentral lists this ribosomal RNA (393 nucleotides) under bacterium enrichment culture. RNAcentral's name for it is "bacterial SSU rRNA". It matches the Rfam family "Bacterial small subunit ribosomal RNA", at positions 521 to 916 of the family's 1533-position model. The record is from RNAcentral.
UAACACGUAGGGGGCGAGCGUUGUUCGGAAUUACUGGGCGUAAAGGGCAUGUAGGCGGUUCUGUAAGCCUGACGUGAAAGGCUAUGGCUCAACCAUGGCACUGCGUUGGGAACUGCGGGACUUGAAUCAUGGAGAGGGAGCUGGAAUUCCAGGUGUAGGGGUGAAAUCUGUAGAUAUCUGGAAGAACACCAGUGGCGAAGGCGAGCUCCUGGCCAAUGAUUGACGCUGAGGUGCGAAAGUGUGGGGAUCAAACAGGAUUAGAGACCCUGGUAGUCCACACUGUCAACGAUGUGCACUAGGUGCUGGGGCGGACGCUUCAGUGCCGGAGCUAACGCGGUAAGUGCACCGCCUGGGGAGUAUGCUCGCAAGGGUGAAACUCAAAUGAAUUGACGG